This 500-nucleotide ribosomal RNA is filed under the name uncultured bacterium. RNAcentral describes it as "partial 16S ribosomal RNA". It matches the Rfam family "Bacterial small subunit ribosomal RNA", at positions 30 to 523 of the family's 1533-position model. The record is from RNAcentral.
AUUGAACGCUGGCGGCAUGCUUUACACAUGCAAGUCGAACGGUAACAGGGUGCUUGCACCGCUGACGAGUGGCGAACGGGUGAGUAAUGCGUCGGAACGUGCCGAGUAGCGGGGGAUAACGCAGCGAAAGUUGUGCUAAUACCGCAUACGUACUGAGGUAGAAAGUGGGGGACCUUCGGGCCUUACGCUAUUCGAGCGGCCGACGUCUGAUUAGCUAGUAGGGGAGGUAAAGGCUCACCUAGGCGACGAUCAGUAGCGGGUCUGAGAGGAUGAUCCGCCACACUGGGACUGAGACACGGCCCAGACUCCUACGGGAGGCAGCAGUGGGGAAUUUUGGACAAUGGGCGAAAGCCUGAUCCAGCCAUGCCGCGUGUCUGAAGAAGGCCUUCGGGUUGUAAAGGACUUUUGUCAGGGAGGAAAUCCCUAGUGCUAAUAACACUGGGGGAUGACAGUACCUGAAGAAUAAGCACCGGCUAACUACGUGCCAGCCGCCGCAGUAA